GAUGAAGAACGUAGCGAAAUGCGAUAAGUAAUGUGAAUUGCAGAAUUCAGUGAAUCAUCGAAUCUUUGAACGCACAUUGCGCCCCUUGGUAUUCCGAGGGGCAUGCCUAUUCGAGCGUCAUUAUCACCCCUCAAGCCUAGCUUGGUGUUGAGGCCUGCUGUCAAGGCAGCCUCUAAAAUCAGUGGCAGUGCUGUCAGGCUCUAAGCGUAGUAAAUCUAAUCGCUAUAGACACCUGGUGGACACUCGCCAGAACCCCCCCCAUUUUUUAAUGAUUGACCUCGGAUUAGGUAGGGAUACCCGCUGAACUUAAGCAUAUCAAUAAGCGGAGGA
RNAcentral lists this unclassified non-coding RNA (330 nucleotides) under soil metagenome. Its description in RNAcentral is "partial contains 5.8S ribosomal RNA, internal transcribed spacer 2, and large subunit ribosomal RNA". The stretch from base 1 to 120 matches the Rfam family "5.8S ribosomal RNA", at positions 35 to 154 of the family's 154-position model. The record is from RNAcentral.